GGCCAGACUCCUACGGGAGGCAGCAGUGGGGGAUAUUGCACAAUGGGGGAAACCCUGAUGCAGCGACGCCGCGUGGGUGAAGAAGCGCCUCGGCGCGUAAAGCCCUCUCAGCAGGGAAGAAAGAGGACGGUACCUGACUAAGAAGCCCCGGCUAACUACGUGCCAGCAGCCGCGGUAAUACGUAGGGGGCGAGCGUUAUCCGGAUUUACUGGGUGUAAAGGGAGCGUAGACGGCCAUGCAAGCUCGGUGUGAAAGGUGCGGGCACAACCCGCAGACUGCACUGAGAACUGUAUGGCUGGAGUGCCGGAGGGGCAGGCGGAAUUCCUGGUGUAGCGGUGAAAUGCGUAGAUAUCAGGAGGAACACCGGUGGCGAAGGCGGCCUGCUGGACGGCGACUGACGUUGAGGCUCGAAAGCGUGGGGAGCGAACAGGAUUAGAUACCCCCGUAGUA
RNAcentral lists this ribosomal RNA (450 nucleotides) under uncultured bacterium. RNAcentral's name for it is "bacterial SSU rRNA". It matches the Rfam family "Bacterial small subunit ribosomal RNA", at positions 329 to 795 of the family's 1533-position model. The record is from RNAcentral.